RNAcentral lists this ribosomal RNA (497 nucleotides) under uncultured bacterium. RNAcentral describes it as "partial 16S ribosomal RNA". It matches the Rfam family "Bacterial small subunit ribosomal RNA", at positions 28 to 507 of the family's 1533-position model. The record is from RNAcentral.
GAUGAACGCUGGCGGCGUGCCUAAUACAUGCAAGUCGAGCGAACAGACGAUGAGCUUGCUCCUCUGAUGUUAGCGGCGGACGGGUGAGUAACACGUGGAUAACCUACCUAUAAGACUGGGAUAACUUCGGGAAACCGGAGCUAAUACCGGAUAACAUGUUGAACCGCAUGGUUCAACAGUGAAAGACGGUCUUGCUGUCACUUAUAGAUGGAUCCGCGCCGCAUUAGAUAGUUGGUAAGGUAACGGCUUACCAAGGCAACGAUGCGUAGCCGACCUGAGAGGGUGAUCGGCCACACUGGAACUGAGACACGGUCCAGACUACUACGGGAGGCAGCAGUAGGGAAUCUUCCGCAAUGGGCGAAAGCCUGACGGAGCAACGCCGCGUGAGUGAAGAAGGUCUUCGGAUCGUAAAACUCUGUUAUUAGGGAAGAACAAAUGUGUAAGUAACUAUGCACGUAUUGACGGUACCUAAUCAGAAAGCCACGGCUAACUACGUG